GUAGGUGAACCUGCGGAAGGAUCAUUACCGAGUGAGGGCCCUCUGGGUCCAACCUCCCACCCGUGUUUAUUUACCUUGUUGCUUCGGCGGGCCCGCCUUAACUGGCCGCCGGGGGGCUCACGCCCCCGGGCCCGCGCCCGCCGAAGACCCCCACGAACUCUUUCUACCUUGCAGUCUGAGCGAUAAGCAUAAAUUAUUAAAACUUUCAACAACGGAUCUCUUGGUUCCG
Molecule: unclassified non-coding RNA, 229 nt
Filed under: rhizosphere metagenome
Description: partial ribosomal RNA internal transcribed spacer region
Source: RNAcentral